UACGUAGGGUGCGAGCGUUAAUCGGAAUUACUGGGCGUAAAGCGUGCGCAGGCGGUGAGCUGUGUCCGAUGUGAAAGCCCCGGGCUUAACCUGGGAAUGGCAUUGGAAACUGGCUCGCUGGAGUGUGGCAGAGGGGGGUGGAAUUCCGCGUGUAGCAGUGAAAUGCGUAGAGAUGCGGAGGAACACCGAUGGCGAAGGCGGCCCCCUGGGCUAACACUGAGGCUCAGGCACGAAAGCGUGGGGAGCAAACAGG
This 253-nucleotide ribosomal RNA is filed under the name uncultured bacterium. RNAcentral's name for it is "partial 16S ribosomal RNA". It matches the Rfam family "Bacterial small subunit ribosomal RNA", at positions 524 to 776 of the family's 1533-position model. The record is from RNAcentral.